AGGACGAACGCUGGCGGCGUGCUUAACACAUGCAAGUCGAGCGGAAAGGCCCUUCGGGGUACUCGAGCGGCGAACGGGUGAGUAACACGUGAGUAACCUGCCCCUAGCUCUGGGAUAGCUCCGGGAAACCGGGAUUAAUACCAGAUACGACCACUUUAGACAUCUGUCGUGGUGGAAAGGAUUCCGGCUAGGGAUGGGCUCGCGGCCUAUCAGCUUGUUGGUGGGGUAACGGCCUACCAAGGCGACGACGGGUAGCCGGCCUGAGAGGGCGACCGGCCACACUGGGACUGAGACACGGCCCAGACUCCUACGGGAGGCAGCAGUGGGGAAUAUUGCGCAAUGGGCGAAAGCCUGACGCAGCGACGCCGCGUGGGGGAUGGAAGGCCUUCGGGUUGUAAACCCCGUUUCAGCAGGGACGAAGCGAAAGUGACGGUACCUGCAGAAGAAGCGCCGGCUAACUACGCGCCAGCAGCCGC
RNAcentral lists this ribosomal RNA (476 nucleotides) under uncultured bacterium. RNAcentral describes it as "SSU rRNA". It matches the Rfam family "Bacterial small subunit ribosomal RNA", at positions 26 to 518 of the family's 1533-position model. The record is from RNAcentral.